RNAcentral lists this non-coding RNA (62 nucleotides) under Candidatus Scalindua. Its description in RNAcentral is "Fluoride sequence". It matches the Rfam family "Fluoride riboswitch aptamer (crcB RNA motif)". The record is from RNAcentral. Lineage: Bacteria; Pseudomonadati; Planctomycetota; Candidatus Brocadiia; Candidatus Brocadiales; Candidatus Scalinduaceae. RNAcentral also lists the same sequence under 1 other name.
UGUCAAUAGAGCGAUGGAGUUCGCUAAAGCGCCGCAUUGCGGAUGAUAACUCCUAUUGGAGG